Molecule: ribosomal RNA, 493 nt
Filed under: uncultured bacterium
Lineage: Bacteria
Description: partial 16S ribosomal RNA
Rfam family: Bacterial small subunit ribosomal RNA
Source: RNAcentral
GACGAACGCUGGCGGCGUGCCUAAUACAUGCAAGUAGAACGCUGAAGGAGGAGCUUGCUUCUCUGGAUGAGUUGCGAACGGGUGAGUAACGCGUAGGUAACCCGCCUGGUAGUGGGUGAUAACUAUUGGAAACGAUAGCUAAUACCGCAUAAUAGCAGUUGUUGCAUGAUAACUGUCUGAAAGGUGCAAUUGCACUGCUACUAGAUGGACCUGCGUUGUUUUAGCUAGUAGGUGGGGUAACGGCGCACCAAGGCGACGAUACAUAGCCGACCUGGGGGGGUGAUCGGCCACACUGAGCCGGAGACCCGGCCCGAACUCCAACGGGAGGAAGCGGUGGGGAAUCUUCGGCAAUGGCCGAAAGUCUGACCGAGCAAGGCCGCGUGAGUGAAGAGGGUUUUCGGUUCGUAAAGCCCUGUUGUAGGGAAGAACGAGUGUGAGAGUGGAAAGUUCCCACUGUACCGGUAUCUUACAAGAAGGGGACGGCUACCUACGU